CGCGGGUUGGAGCAGCUUGGUAGCUCGUCGGGCUCAUAACCCGAAGGUCGUCGGUUCAAAUCCGGCCCCCGCAACCA
Molecule: transfer RNA, 77 nt
Filed under: Vibrio sp. 1-2-3a
Lineage: Bacteria; Pseudomonadati; Pseudomonadota; Gammaproteobacteria; Vibrionales; Vibrionaceae
Description: tRNA-Met
Rfam family: tRNA
About the family: Transfer RNA (tRNA) molecules are approximately 80 nucleotides in length. Their secondary structure includes four short double-helical elements and three loops (D, anti-codon, and T loops).
Source: RNAcentral